UGGGGAAUAUUGCACAAUGGGCGCAAGCCUGAUGCAGCAACGCCGCGUGAACGAUGAAGGUCUUCGGAUCGUAAAGUUCUGUUGCAGGGGAAGAUAAUGACGGUACCCUGUGAGGAAGCCCCGGCUAACUACGUGCCAGCAGCCGCGGUAAUACGUAGGUGGCGAGCGUUAUCCGGAAUUAUUGGGCGUAAAGGGUGCGUAGGCGGUCUGUUAAGUUCAUGGUUAAAUUUUGGGGCUCAACCCCAUUGAGCCAUGGAUACUGGCAGACUAGAGUAUUGGAGAGGCAAGCGGAAUUCCAUGUGUAGCGGUAAAAUGCGUAGAUAUAUGGAGGAACACCGGUGGCGAAGGCGGCUUGCUAGCCAAAGACUGACGCUCAGGCACGAAAGCGUGGGGAGCAAAUAGG
Molecule: ribosomal RNA, 403 nt
Filed under: Verrucomicrobiota bacterium
Lineage: Bacteria; Pseudomonadati; Verrucomicrobiota
Description: Verrucomicrobia bacterium partial 16S ribosomal RNA
Rfam family: Bacterial small subunit ribosomal RNA
Source: RNAcentral